UGCCUUUGAAUCAAGCUGUUCGUCUUGCC
This 29-nucleotide non-coding RNA is filed under the name Mus musculus (house mouse). Lineage: Eukaryota; Metazoa; Chordata; Mammalia; Rodentia; Muridae. The record is from RNAcentral.